This 1334-nucleotide ribosomal RNA is filed under the name Cestrotus liui. Its description in RNAcentral is "16S ribosomal RNA". The stretch from base 1078 to 1237 matches the Rfam family "Archaeal large subunit ribosomal RNA", at positions 2544 to 2703 of the family's 2987-position model. The record is from RNAcentral. Lineage: Eukaryota; Metazoa; Arthropoda; Insecta; Diptera; Lauxaniidae.
UUUAGAUUAAUUUAUUAAUUUAGUAAAAUAAAUAAAUUUAAAAUAUUAAAAAUAAUUUUAUAAUUUAUAGUUUAAGUAUUUUAUAAAGAAAAAAUAAUUUUAAUUAUAUUGAAUUAGUAUUGUAGAAGAAAAUUGAAAUAAAUUGAAAAUUUAAAAUUUAAAAAGAAAAUUUUAAUUAUUGUACCUUGUGUGUCAGGGUUAAUUAAAUAAAAACUUAAUAUUUAAGUUUUCUCGAUUUUAAAAGAGUUAAUAAGUUACUAAAGUUAAUGUAGAAAAAUUAUUUUUAAUAAUUUAUUAGAAAUGAAAUGUUAUUCGUUUUUAAAGGUAUCUAGUUUUUUUAGAAAUAAAUUUAAUUUAGAAAUUUUUAAUUUAUUUAAUUUUUUAAUAAUUAGAUAAUUAAAAAUUUUAAUAUUUUACGGGAUAAGCUGUAAAAUAAAAAUUUAAAAAUUUUAAAUAAUUAGUGAAAUAUAUAUGCUUAGAAUUAGCAAUUAUUAAUAAAUUUGUUAUAAUUUAUUUUUUAAAUUAAAUUAUUUAUUAGAAUUUUAAAUUUUUAUAAAAAUUUUUAUUAUAAUUUUUAAAAUUAAGUAAUAAUGAUUAAAUUAGUAUAUAAUAAUUAAAUGUAUAAAUUAAUUUAAUUGAAAAGUUUAAUAAAAGAAUUCGGCAAAUUUAAUGUUCGCCUGUUUAACAAAAACAUGUCUUUUUGAAUUAAAUUUAAAGUCUGACCUGCCCACUGAUUUUUAAAUGGCCGCAGUAUACUAACUGUGCAAAGGUAGCAUAAUCAUUAGUCUUUUAAUUGAAGGCUGGAAUGAAUGGUUGGACGAGAUAUUAACUGUUUCUAUUAAAUUUUUUAUAGAAUUUUAUUUUUUAGUCAAAAAGCUAAAAUUUAAUUGAAAGACGAGAAGACCCUAUAAAUCUUUAUAUUUAAUUUAUUUUAAUUGUUUAGAAUUAUUUUAUUAUAAUAAAUUUAAGUAUUUUAUUGGGGUGAUAGUUAAAUUUAUAAAACUUUAAUUUUUAAAAAUCAUUAAUUAAUGAAUUAUUGAUCCAGUUUUACUGAUUAAAAAUUUAAGUUACUUUAGGGAUAACAGCGUAAUUUUUUUGGAGAGUUCAUAUCGAUAAAAAAGAUUGCGACCUCGAUGUUGGAUUAAGAGAUAUACUUAGGCGCAGCCGUUUAAGUGAUAAGUCUGUUCGACUUUUAAAUUCUUACAUGAUCUGAGUUCAAACCGGCGUAAGCCAGGUUGGUUUCUAUCUUUAAUUAAUUAAAAUAUUUUAGUACGAAAGGACCAAAUAUUUGAAUAAUAAAAUUUUUAUAAAAUGAAUAUUAUUAAUUUAAAUAU